UUAUAUAUAUAUAUAUAUAUAUGUGUGUGUGUGUGUGUGUGUGUGUGUAUAUAUACAUUUAAUUAGCAAAUAAAACACAAGAAUGGAAGA
RNAcentral lists this microRNA precursor (90 nucleotides) under Poecilia formosa (Amazon molly). Its description in RNAcentral is "miRNA (ENSPFOG00000021117.1)". The record is from RNAcentral. Lineage: Eukaryota; Metazoa; Chordata; Actinopteri; Cyprinodontiformes; Poeciliidae.